UGUGAAGCAGAGAGGAGUUUCCGUUAUCUACAAACUUUCCUUCGUUUUCUCUCUCUAAAUUCUUGGUGUGGUAUUUCCGAUCCGAAUUAGGGUUUUGUCAGAAUCUCCGUCCGGCGGGAUCGAAAUCGGGAGAUAUGUUUACUGACUCGAUCACCAACACUUCGAUUCCCACGGCGGCCUCCAACACCAAGUACUUGGCCAAGAAAAAGAGGGCGAACAGGUCGGCCAAAUUGAAGCAGUGCAAGCUUGAUGCCCGCCGCGAGCAGUGGCUUUCCCAAGUCAAGAACAAGGAAAGUAAGGAGGAAGCAGAUGUGCAUGGAGGCCUCUGUGCAUCAUCAGGACAUGCAUACAGUGAGCGUGAACAAUUAGUGGAGAAUUUGGAGACAAAGCCAAGAGUUGAAAGGAAUGGAGGAUUGGCUCACCAUUACAGCGAUUUAGAUUCUCCUUCAAACAGUCCCAGCAGCCAUGCAAGUAGUAUCUUGGGCGGUAAUGUGUCUGGGACAAACUUUUCUGGCAGUAGUGGUGGGAGCGGCAGUGGCAGCAGUAGCAGUGGUGGGAGUUGUUCUGGAAGCAUAACUGGAGAGGAUGAAGAAGGUUGUGAUGACUGCUUGGAUGAUUGGGAGGCAGUUGCAGAUGCUUUAGCAGCCACCGAUGACAAGCGGGAGCAGCAUACCCAUAGUUUAGAGCCGCUCACAGAGCAUGAAAGUAGCAUACUGUUAGAUUCUCCCCCGGAAUUAACUCACCAAGCAACUUUAGGAAAUGAGAUGUCAAACCCAAAGCCAGAGCAUGCCGAAAUGGUCCAAAAGGCUCGACCAAAUUGCCGUGCAUGGACAGCUGGUGAUGCUUUUCGUCCACAGUGUCUGCCAAAUCUUUCAAAACAGCUCAGUUUCCCUAUGAAUUCAGGCAGGCAGCGUGGCUAUGGAGGUGGUGCAUGGGGCUGUAAAAAUUCUAUAGCUACGCCAUUGCCAUGCCCCAUAUGCUGUGAAGAUUUGGAUUUCACAGACUCAAAUUUUCUUCCUUGUUCAUGUGGGUUCAGGCUGUGCCUUUUCUGCCACAAGAGAAUUCUUGAGGAGGAUGGUCGCUGUCCAGGCUGCAGAAAGAAAUAUGACCAUGAACCUGUCAAGGGGGAAACAACAAUGGAUGGAGGCAACCUUACAUUUCAGUUGGCUCGAUCUUUUAGCAUGAUUACAAGAUUUUCAUAGUCAUAGAUGUGGGAUAGGGAUGCUGUUUUCAAGCACCUGGAGAUUAGGUUGGUUCUCUUUUGAGUUUGGUCAACAUAUGUUUGGUGCAUGCGUGCAGAUGUAGAAGAUCUUUUGCUGUCUUUGAGGAAGGCUACUGUAUUUGUCAAAGGCAUGUCUAGGCACAAUGUGGACAGAGUUGCAAUACUUUGUGCUUCUGCUAAAGUGAGGCCAGGCACCCAUCUUAGGCCCUCGCUUAAGCGCAUGAGGGGCAUGCCUUAUGUGUAGGCACAAGUCACACACCUCAAGCCAAUUGCAACAAAGAAACCCUCACCAAUUGUCAAUCAAAGGUUGAUAAAAACACUUAAAUAAACUUUGUCAAUUUUCAAGAGCUUCAGCCCUUGGAUAACUUCUUUUAUUUGUCAGAAGGUGUCCGCUCUGAUUUUCUAUCUUUGUUUCUUCUUUUUCUUGAGAUGAACUCGUGUUCUAAUAAUCUAUGAGAGGCAAGCCAGGAGAGGCUGAUUGGAGGUCCAUCAGGAGUCAUCAUGUGAGAGACUCCAGUGAGUGAAGUUCAUGUGCUGAAGAAGCUCUUGCCCAUAGCCAUUCAUCUAGCGACUUAGUCUUCACUGACAGUGUCACUGAAAGCUGGCACGCAUUCUACUGGCUAGUUUUGGUCUGGAUGGUCAUGGACUUGUAUUUGUUGUUUCUCUCUUGCCAGUUACUACUUGUUUCAUAGUCCCGUGAGUUUAGUUUAGUGGACUUGUUUAUGUUAAAUUCAUUCAUUUGAAUGUUUUACACUUUUACUAUAUAGAAGGUUUUCUACUUUCUUAUUUAAA
Molecule: RNA transcript, 2014 nt
Organism: Diospyros lotus (date-plum)
Lineage: Eukaryota; Viridiplantae; Streptophyta; Magnoliopsida; Ericales; Ebenaceae
Exons: 5
Source: RefSeq, a predicted model, not a curated record